GACGAACGCUGGCGGCGUGCUUAACACAUGCAAGUCGAGCGGUAAGGCCCUUUCGGGGGUACACGAGCGGCGAACGGGUGAGUAACACGUGGGUGACCUGCCCUCAGCUCUGGGAUAAGCCUGGGAAACCGGGUCUAAUACCGGAUAUGACUCCAUGACGCAUGUUGUGGGGUGGAAAGCCUUGUGCGGCUGAGGAUGGGCCCGCGGCCUAUCAGCUUGUUGGUGGGGUGAUGGCCUACCAAGGCGACGACGGGUAGCCGGCCUGAGAGGGCGACCGGCCGACACUGGGACUGAGACACGGCCCAGACUCCUACGGGAGGCAGCAGUGGGGAAUCUUGCGCAAUGGGCGAAAGCCUGACGCAGCGA
Molecule: ribosomal RNA, 366 nt
Filed under: uncultured bacterium
Lineage: Bacteria
Description: bacterial SSU rRNA
Rfam family: Bacterial small subunit ribosomal RNA
Source: RNAcentral